AGAGCGAACGCUGGCGGCAGGCCUAACACAUGCAAGUCGAGCGCCCGUAGCAAUACGGGAGCGGCAGACGGGAUAGUAACACGUGGGAACGCGCCCUUCGGUUCGGAAUAACUCAGGGAAACUUGAGCUAAUACCGAAUACGCCCUUACGGGGAAAGAUUUAUUGCCGAAGGAACGGCCCGCGUCCGAUUAGCUAGUUGGUGAGGUAAUGGCUCACCAAGGCUACGAUCGGUAGCUGGUCUGAGAGGAUGACCAGCAUCACUGGGACUGAGACACGGCCCAGACUCCUACGGGAGGCAGCAGUGGGGAAUAUUGGACAAUGGGCGCAAGCCUGAUCCAGCCAUGCCGCGUGGAUGAUGAAGGCCUUAGGGUUGUAAAGUCCUUUUAACGGGGAAGUAUAAUGACGGCACCCGUAGAAUAAGCCCGGCUAACUCGUGCCAGCAGCCGC
RNAcentral lists this ribosomal RNA (447 nucleotides) under uncultured bacterium. Its description in RNAcentral is "SSU rRNA". It matches the Rfam family "Bacterial small subunit ribosomal RNA", at positions 26 to 518 of the family's 1533-position model. The record is from RNAcentral.